AGUCCCAUUUUGUCCUCUCUCCCUUCUCUCCUCACUCUUCACCUCUCCUCGGGGUCGUCUUCUCAGAGGACUCCGCCGACGGAGAUGCUGCGGACUCCGCGGCCAGGGUCUGCCCCCAGGAGAACCCUCCGUCCACCUUUGCCCCCUCCCCGGGGGCGCGGGAGAUUUCUCUUGGAUUUGGCUACAAACUUAUAGAUCUUCUGCACUGUGUACAGGCACAGGUAAGUUAAAAAUAAGCUUUUCUAUUGGUUUAUUUUGAUUUUUUAAGUAAAAUCAAAUAUUUAACAUACCCUUUAUAGUUUGGCACAAUAGUAUGUAAAUAAAAUGAAUAUAAAUUAAAAAAAUGUGUAUUUGUCUACAUGUGUUUAAUUAUGAAAAUUCACUGAGUUUGUUAGAAAUGAUGUUUGAAGGUAAAAUAGCUAUGUCUGUUUAUUGGUGUUUUCUGUGUGUAUUUGGGAAGAGUUUAUGAAUUUAUCCAUUGGGUGAGGUGAAGUAUAAUUUCAUAGCCUGGCAAAUUUACAUUUGUGAAAUGAAUUUAUAUUUAUUUUCAUAUGUAAAUAAAAUAGCUACUAUAGAUUUUGGCAGCAAAUUUCUGUCUUUAUGUGGGUAGAUUUAAUGAAUAGACUUUUCUUGUCCAGCUAGUCUGAAAUAGCUUUUCAGUCACUCUUUAUCACACAAUCCUGAUUUAUUUUUAUCAUAAUAUUUAUCAAAGUGAUAUAUUCUUUUUAGUCUCCCCUACUAGAAUAUAGAGUCCAUGAACAUUGGGGCAUUUUGUCUUGUGAAAAACAGUAUCCCUAACCCUCAGGUUAGUGCUUGUUAAAUAGAAGACUGAAUAAACAUUUGUUACAGUAAUUGUUGACUAAUACACAUUAAGAAUUUAUUUAGGAGUUGUUGCUCUGGUGCAGCCGCUUAAGAAUCUGACUGCAGCGGCUCGGGUCACUGAGGAGCUGAGGGUUUGAUCCUUGGCCUGGCGCAGUGGGUUAAAGGAUCCAUUGUUGCCGCUUCUGUAGCAUACCUCGUAGGUGUGGCUUGGAUUCAAUCCCUGGCUGGGUAACUUCCAUAUGCUGCAGGCCAUAAAAAGGGGAAAAAAAAAGUACUUAUAUUCAAUCUUUGAACUUUGCAUCUGUACAUAAAUGGUAGAAAUAGUUCCUUCUGCUUAUUUCUAAAUAUGAAAUUAAUUUAUAUCAGAUACUUAAAAUAUAUCACUCUUACAUGUUCAAGGAAAUUAUGUGUUAGAUAUGUUACGUACUGAAGCAUGAUUAUUCAGGGUAGAAUUCAGAGGGUGGUGCUUCCAAUUCUGUUUUUAUUUUGUCACUACCUUAGAAGGUUCUUGGUUGAGCUCAAAUGGUAGAUGAACCUGGAGCAAGUGUGAGAGCUUCUCACCUCCUUACUCUACCAUGCUCCCAUAUUGGAUAUCCUUUGUGACGUCUUUAUGGAUAACAAAGUAGUUUUGAAAGUAAUUGUCCAGAGUUCCUAUUGUGGCCUUAGUGGUAACAAAGCUGGCUAGUAUCCUUAAGGAUGCAGGUUCGAUGCCUGGCCUUGCUCAUUGAGUGGGUUCAGGUUCUGGUGGUGUUGUGCAGGGCAGCAGCUGCAGCUCCAGUUGGAUCCCUAGCUUGGGAAAUUCCAUAUGCUGAAGGUGUGGCCCUCAAAAGCAAAAAA
RNAcentral lists this long non-coding RNA (1659 nucleotides) under Sus scrofa (pig). RNAcentral's name for it is "lncRNA (ENSSSCG00015060131.1)". The record is from RNAcentral. Lineage: Eukaryota; Metazoa; Chordata; Mammalia; Artiodactyla; Suidae.